UGAGUACGAGAUGCUACGGCAUCGAAGCAGUCUAUGUCAUACUUCCAAGAAAAGCUUGCAAUGUCAUAAACAAAUAAUGCCUGUACCAUAACCGACACAGGUGGGUAGGUAGAGUAUACUAAGGGGCGCGAGAUAACUCUCUCUAAGGAACUCGGCAAAAUGACUCCGUAACUUCGGGAGAAGGAGUGCCUUAUUUUUAUAAGGUUGCAAUAACAAGAUCCAAGCAACUGUUUACCAAAAACACAGGUCUCCGCUAAGUCGUAAGACGAUGUAUGGGGGCUGACGCCUGCCCAGUGCCAGAAGGUUAAAGAAGUUGGUUAGCAUUAGCGAAGCUGAUAACUGAAGCCCUGGUGAACGGCGGCCGUAACGAUAACGGUCCUAAGGUAGCGAAAUUCCUUGUCGGGUAAGUUCCGACCCGCACGAAAGGCGUAAUGAUUUGGAUACUGUCUCGGAGAGGGGCUCGGUGAAAUAGACUUGUCUGUGAAGAUGCGGGCUACCUGCACCUGGACAGAAAGACCCUAUGUAGCUUUACUGUACUUGAGAUUGAAAUUGGACUUUAUCUGCGCAGUAUAGGUGGGAGACGUUGAAAAUAUUCUUGCGGGAAUAUUGGAGUCAUCAGUGAGAUACCACUCUUAUAAUGUUAGAUUUCUAACUUUGUAUCAUUAUCUGGUCAAAGAACAGUUUCAGGCGGGCAGUUUGACUGGGGCGGUCGCCUCCCAAACGGUAACGGAGGCGCACAAAGGUUUCCUCUGAACGUGUAGAAAUCGUAUCUAGAGUGUAAAGGCAUAAGGAAGCUUGACUGUGAGACCUACAAGUCGAGCAGGGACGAAAGUCGGUCUUAGUGAUCUGACGGUGCUGAGUGGAAAGGCCGUCACUCAACGGAUAAAAGUUACUCUAGGAUAACAGGCUGAUCUCCCCCAAGAGUUCACAUCGACGGGGAGGUUUGGCACCUCGAUGUCGGCUCAUCGCAUCCUGGGGCGGUAGUACGUCCCAAGGGUUGGGCUGUUCGCCCAUGAAAGCGGUACGCGAGCUGGGUUCAGAACGUCGUGAGACAGUUCGGUCCAUAUCCGGUGUAGGCGUUAGAAUAUUGAGAGGAGCCUUCUUUAGUACGAGAGGACCGAGAAGGACAUACCUCUGGUGUACCAGUUAUCGUGCCAACGGUAAACGCUGGGUAGCCAUGUAUGGAGAGGAUAACCGCUGAAAGCAUCUAAGUGGGAAGCCCACCUCAAGAUAAGUAUUCUC
This 1242-nucleotide ribosomal RNA is filed under the name metagenome. RNAcentral describes it as "bacterial LSU rRNA". It matches the Rfam family "Bacterial large subunit ribosomal RNA", at positions 1564 to 2815 of the family's 2925-position model. The record is from RNAcentral.